AGCAGCCGCCGCGGUAAUACGUAGGUCCCGAGCGUUGUCCGGAUUUAUUGGGCGUAAAGGGAGCGCAGGCGGUUUAGUAAGUCUGGAGUUAAAGGCAUUGGCUCAACCAAUGUAUGCUUUGGAAACUGUUUGACUUGAGUGCAGAAGGGGAGAGUGGAAUUCCAUGUGUAGCGGAGAAAUGCGUAGAUAUAUGGAGGAACACCGGUGGCGAAAGCGGCUCUCUGGUCUGUCACUGACGCUGAGGCUCGAAAGCGUGGGUAGCGAACAGGAUUAGAUACCCGAGUAGUCCCUGUCUCUUAUACA
This 303-nucleotide ribosomal RNA is filed under the name uncultured bacterium. RNAcentral describes it as "partial 16S ribosomal RNA". It matches the Rfam family "Bacterial small subunit ribosomal RNA", at positions 507 to 808 of the family's 1533-position model. The record is from RNAcentral.